RNAcentral lists this long non-coding RNA (292 nucleotides) under Elaeis guineensis (African oil palm). RNAcentral's name for it is "long non-coding RNA (EGUI_LNC011680)". Lineage: Eukaryota; Viridiplantae; Streptophyta; Magnoliopsida; Arecales; Arecaceae. The record is from RNAcentral.
CAACCAUCAUCGUUCAUGUAAAAUUCAGUAGCCGGCCGGAUGUUGUCUUCCUUUAUCUUCGACAAGUAUAGCAUUAGGGAUCUCAAAUCCCUCUUCCAACCUUUCACCAAUAUCAUCUCUCACAGUUGAUAGAUAUAGAUAUUGGUCAAAUGCUCAAAUUUAUUCAGAUAGUUUUAGAUACAGAAAUAGAUUCGGAUACAUAUUAGCUGGUCUAUUUUUAUCCUCAGGUUUUUUUGUUCACAUGGUUAAACUUUAUAGCUAUAAAAUCAAAGAUAUCACUGGAUAAAAGAUA